This 322-nucleotide long non-coding RNA is filed under the name Amborella trichopoda. RNAcentral describes it as "long non-coding RNA (ATRI_LNC000965)". The record is from RNAcentral. Lineage: Eukaryota; Viridiplantae; Streptophyta; Magnoliopsida; Amborellales; Amborellaceae.
ACUUGGGUUUGAUGCUUCGAAUAUUCAGUGGUCAAAUUUGGCUCUUGUUGAAAAUAUAUAGUUGCCUCAAGAUCUCAAUAUUAGAAAAUAUAAUUGUCCUCGGCACCAGUGUUCGAAUUUGCCUAUUUUUGCAAUGCUAUUUUUCCCUUGGGUUUAUGAUGAUAUUUUAGGGUUGGCAUUUUUGUAUUGAACCAUUGAUGUUUGUCUAGGCAUGUUGUGAAGAAUUAGCGUUAGGUUUUUCUUUGUUUCAGGACUCUGAUUUGUGUUUUUCUUCUCUCUGAACUGAUCUGGUUUGCAUAAUUGGUCUCAAUUUGAAGUAUUU